Molecule: ribosomal RNA, 256 nt
Filed under: uncultured archaeon
Lineage: Archaea
Description: partial 16S ribosomal RNA
Rfam family: Bacterial small subunit ribosomal RNA
Source: RNAcentral
UAAUACGUAGGUGGCAAGCGUUAUCCGGAAUUAUUGGGCGUAAAGCGCGCGUAGGCGGUUUCUUAAGUCUGAUGUGAAAGUCCACGGCUCAACCGUGGAAGGUCAUUGGAAACUGGGGAACUUGAGUGCAGAAGAGGAGAGUGGAAUUCCAUGUGUAGCGGUGAAAUGCGCAGAGAUAUGGAGGAACACCAGUGGCGAAGGCGGCUCUCUGGUCUGUAACUGACGCUGAUGUGCGAAAGCGUGGGGAUCAAACAGG